Molecule: ribosomal RNA, 481 nt
Filed under: Streptococcus intermedius
Lineage: Bacteria; Bacillati; Bacillota; Bacilli; Lactobacillales; Streptococcaceae
Description: bacterial SSU rRNA
Rfam family: Bacterial small subunit ribosomal RNA
Source: RNAcentral
GACGAACGCUGGCGGCGUGCCUAAUACAUGCAAGUAGAACGCACAGGAUGCACCGUAGUUUACUACACCGUAUUCUGUGAGUUGCGAACGGGUGAGUAGCGCGUAGGUAACCUGCCUGGUAGCGGGGGAUAACUAUUGGAAACGAUAGCUAAUACCGCAUAAGAACAUUUACUGCAUGGUAGAUGUUUAAAAGGUGCAAAUGCAUCACUACCAGAUGGACCUGCGUUGUAUUAGCUAGUAGGUGAGGUAACGGCUCACCUAGGCGACGAUACAUAGCCGACCUGAGAGGGUGAUCGGCCACACUGGGACUGAGACACGGCCCAGACUCCUACGGGAGGCAGCAGUAGGGAAUCUUCGGCAAUGGGGGGAACCCUGACCGAGCAACGCCGCGUGAGUGAAGAAGGUUUUCGGAUCGUAAAGCUCUGUUGUUAAGGAAGAACGAGUGUGAGAAUGGAAAGCUCAUACUGUGACGGACUAACCA